Long non-coding RNA from Cyprinus carpio carpio, 797 nucleotides. The record is from Ensembl. NCBI's taxonomy places the organism in Eukaryota, Metazoa, Chordata, Actinopteri, Cypriniformes, Cyprinidae.
CAAUCCAUAAUCCAUAACAACACUUCAUCCAUUGAAAAGGUCCAUUUUGUCCUCUCACAUUAAAAUCCAUUGACAUUUUUCAAUGGUUUGAAGAUAAAAACAUCUUCAUGAUGAAUUUGUUUAUUACAAAAAGCAGCUUUUCACUUCAAUACGUUAAUUGAUGGACUGGAGUCGAGUGGAUUACUUGUGGAUUAUUGUGAUGUUUUUAUCAGCUGUUUGAACUCUCAUUCUGACCCAUUCACUGCAGAUGAUCCAAUUGUGAGCAAGUGUUGUAAUGCUAAAUUUAUCAAAAUCCAUUUUAAAGAAAAAACAAACUCAUCUACAUCUUGGAUGGUUUGAGCUGGCAUGCAUGCACUACCAUUCUUUGGCCUUACAGGGCCAAAUUACAUGACACCCUGGACUCACCGGAUACACUAGCAGAGAACAAAAUCUUGGUGAAAUUGGAACAUUUCUGCAUAUCAGCUCUCUGUGUUUGUCUGUCUAAUUUUUAUUUCACCUGGAGCACAACUAAGAAUCUUAUGUUGUUAUUAAUACCAGUUAUCACUAUUAAUCUCAGUUAGAACAGAUCCAGUGUAUGCAUUUCUGCAAACUUUGAGUUUUUUCAUUCUCUACUUGGAUUGGAUUUACAUGGAUGCCGUGGCUGGUGCUGAUUUGGCAGGAAUCACAGAAUGCAGAACCAACAGAGAGGAAGAUGGAUUUACACUGUAUUAACAUUUAAAAUGGUGCACUUUAAUACUUCAUUUAAAGACUAGAAUGUGCUCUGGGGAAAAAGUACACUAAUAGAAAUAGGACAUGGC